GAUUUUGGAGGGCAAGUCUGGUGCCAGCAGCCGCGGUAAUUCCAGCUCCAAUAGCGUAUAUUAAAGUUGUUGCAGUUAAAAAGCUCGUAGUUGAAUUUCGGGGUUAGUAGGUUGGUCAUGCCUCCGGUAUGUACUGAUCUCACUGAUUCCUCCUUCCUUAUGAACCGUAAUGCCAUUAAUUUGGUGUUGCGGGGAAUUUGGACUGUUACUUUGAAAAAAUUAGAGUGUUUAAAGCAAGCUAACGCUUGAAUACAUUAGCAUGGAAUAAUGAAAUAGGACGUUCGAUCUUAUUUUGUUGGUUUCUAGGAUUGACGUAAUGAUUAAUAGGGAUAGUUGGGGGCAUUAGUAUUCAAUUGUCAGAGGUGAAAUUCUUGGAUUUACUGAAGACUAACUACUGCGAAAGCAUUUGCCAAGGAUGUUUUCAUUAAUCAAGAACGAAAGUUAGGGGAUCGAAGACGAUCAGAUACCGUCGUAGUCUUAACCAUAAACUAUGCCGACUAGGGAUUGGAUGAUGUUAAUUUUUUAAUGACUCAUUCGGCGCCUUACGGGAAACAAUC
RNAcentral lists this ribosomal RNA (557 nucleotides) under uncultured Glomus. RNAcentral's name for it is "SSU rRNA". It matches the Rfam family "Eukaryotic small subunit ribosomal RNA", at positions 539 to 1101 of the family's 1831-position model. Lineage: Eukaryota; Fungi; Glomeromycota; Glomeromycetes; Glomerales; Glomeraceae. The record is from RNAcentral.